GCUGGGCACGGUGGCAUGUGCCUGUAGUCCCAGCUACUCGGGAGGCUGAGAUGGAAGGAUCGCUUGAGCCAGGAGUUCUGGGCUGUAGUGCGCUAUGCCAAUCGGGUGUCUGCACUAAGUUUGGCAUCAAUAUAGUGACCUACUGAGACCAGGGGAUCACCAAGUUGCCUAAGGAGGGGUGAACCAGCCCAGGUGGGAAAUCAAGCAGGUCAAAACUCCUGUGCUGAUCAAUACUGGGAUCGCACCUGUGAAUAGCCACUGCACUCCAGCCUGGGCAACAUAGCGAGACCCCGUCUCU
This 298-nucleotide signal recognition particle RNA is filed under the name Cebus imitator (Panamanian white-faced capuchin). RNAcentral describes it as "Metazoan signal recognition particle RNA (ENSCCAG00000002747.1)". It matches the Rfam family "Metazoan signal recognition particle RNA". From Rfam's summary of the family: The signal recognition particle (SRP) is a universally conserved ribonucleoprotein. It is involved in the co-translational targeting of proteins to membranes. The eukaryotic SRP consists of a 300-nucleotide 7S RNA and six proteins: SRPs 72, 68, 54, 19, 14, and 9. Lineage: Eukaryota; Metazoa; Chordata; Mammalia; Primates; Cebidae. The record is from RNAcentral.